This 546-nucleotide long non-coding RNA is filed under the name Homo sapiens (human). Its description in RNAcentral is "novel transcript". The record is from RNAcentral. Lineage: Eukaryota; Metazoa; Chordata; Mammalia; Primates; Hominidae.
GGGGGUCCUCAGAGCCAGGGCGGGAAGAGGGACUGGCUCUCAGUCCCUGCCUCGCGGGGGGUGCCUCCGCCCCCAGCGAUGGGGUCCUAAGAGCAAAGCUGGAGCUGCGUUCGGACCCGUCGGAUCGUAAAUCCCAUGUAAGGUAUCUGCCGUCGGAAGAUUUGAACUUUCUAAUUGGACACCUAACACCCACAGUCCUCCAGACAGAAAGACAACAGGUACAAAGCCCUAAGGAUUAUAAAGGUAUGCUGCUUACCAUCAUCUUAGUGACCAAGGCAGCGAAGCUGUUUCUGUACCUUGGAACAGUCUUCCCUGACAAGCCAGAGAACAGUGAUAAAGCCACCAGCCUUGGGAUCAGGACUGAAAAGGCAAGAGUGAUGGAGAUUUCUCCUGCGCUAAGCCAAGAGAAGGUUUCAGCACUUCAGACAGCUCCCACCGAAGUAGCCGCGCUCCCAGCUGCUUGCAGAUGUUGAAAAGGAAAGCCUCGGUUUGUCUUGAGGUUGUCAGCAGGUGCAAGACACGUAAUAAAAUGCAAUGUGUUCCUAA